Molecule: long non-coding RNA, 4115 nt
Organism: Crotalus tigris (Tiger rattlesnake)
Lineage: Eukaryota; Metazoa; Chordata; Lepidosauria; Squamata; Viperidae
Exons: 7
Source: RefSeq, a predicted model, not a curated record
GCACGAGGAGGGCAGGUGAAAAGGCCGGCGCUUUGUUGUGCGCUGGAUGCUCUGGCUUCCACCCCUCCCUGCCUGUGCAACAGGUAGCGAUGUCAGAAGCCGGGAAAAGCUGCGCGCCGAGUCCCGGCCGCGGCGACGCUUUUGUUCUCCUCGCCUGGAUGCGCUUCCAAAAGUGAAAGGAAAGAGGCUUCACCCAAAACUUGCUUCCCGUCCCCCCCCUCCCUUUCUCCCUCCUCCCAGCGCGCCGCUUGAGUAGCCCUUCCACUUCCCCGGCUCCCAUCCCGGGUUCUUGAAAGCCCCGGUUUUCGUCCUUGGGAACGGUGAGAGGACUCCCGCGCCCACCCGGCCGAAUUGCGAGAGGAGGUCGUUCUCCGCGCCUGUCAAGGGGGAUCCAAACAAAGAGGUGCAUUUGCCGGAAACAACGAUCGGAGGGAUUCUCCUCGCCUCCUCCGCCUCCAUUAAGAUUGUUUUUCUGGGAGGCUCACUUAGAGGGAAGUUUUGAACUGGAAGCCAGGGAUGAGGCGUCCCUUUCUCUCUCUCGGUGUAUAUUUCUGUUAUCUUAUCUCGGGAUCCAGACCUUUCGAAGGAGAAGGGGCGGCUGAAGUUGAUAAGAAAAGUGAAUGUCAGUGAAACAGAACAUCUACCAAGAUGCUAUAUUUAAAUCCCUUAUCAAGUUCAGCAAGUUGGAUGCUUCAUUUUAUUAACCUUCAAAUGGUGAAAUGGAAUACAGAACAAAGAAAAGAAGGCAUCAGUGCGUGGAUUUAUAAAUUUGGAUUUCUGGACAUGAAUGCUGGUGAAAAUUACAGUUUUUGGCUUGGAUUAUGGAAUAUCGUCCCAGCACUUUUAAGACAAAUGAUAAACAAUAUAUGAACAAUUGACAACAAUCAAGAUGUUUAAACCAUGCUACCAGCAAUUUAUGUCUGGAGUUGGAGAAAGAUAUUACAGAAGGAAAAAAAUCUGAUAUGAACAGGCGAUAAAACAUUAGCCAGCUCAACCAUUGCUGAAAAUUGUGGAACACAAUUUCUGGAGAGAACCUUCUUGAGGAAGGCUGAAAUCUUUACUUGGGGGAUGUCUAGGGCCAGAGAGUCCUUCAAACAAAGAAAUGCAAUCAAUGAAAACACUCCAGAGGAGGAGAGCCUGUGCAGGGAAGGGGAUCAGUCUAGACUUCCAAACAAUUUCCCUUUCCUGACCAAGGCAGAUCACAUUUCCUUCCUAAGGAACAUGGCUGUGAAGUCACCGUUUUGUUUUUGACCCUGGUCUUCCUGCAAAUGUUUGAGUCAAACUCUGAUUGUAAAGAAUGAUUCAAGGCACAUAAACAUUUCAAAGCAAGAGAAGUCGUCUUUCUGUAAUGGCUUCAGCAUGCAGUGGUAACAAGGGACAGAAAAAGGCUAAGUGAGCAUCUUAUUUGUCAAAGGUUCUGGCCAUGUUUUGGAUAUGGAUAUGAGAAAACAAAAGUGAAUAAAGCAAAAUGGUUGAACAGGACUUUUAAUGGAAACAUGAAAAGAAUCACCUGUUGCCUCUGUCACAUUAAAAGCAAGUGAACAAAGGAGAGUCUUUUGGUCAACCAAAGACAUGUUAAAAGAUUUUCUCCCCUUGUCUAGCUGUCCCUAGUGAUCUAUGAAAUACCUUAACAAGAGCAGAGAAGAAAAAUAGUGAGCUUAUUUACCUCAGGUACUUUUGUAUUACAAACUCAGCCACACAUCCUGCAUACCCAGGUGUCAGGAAGCCCCAUUCAGAUUAUGAAACCAAGAACUCAUCUUCAAUCUGGCUCUGGCUACUACAAAGGUAGCCUCCCCUUGUUUUCCUUCUUCCUUGGCAUCUGAAAAAAGUCUUACUGUUUACAGUAUUCUCCACAGCUUGGUACUGCUGUUCACCUCUGUAACUUUGCUGUAGAAUUUUGCCACAAGUAUAGAAUGUUCGGGGGUGUGAUGGCUCAGGUAUUAAAGAUGCUGAGAUUGUCAGCUGUCAGCCCGGGUUCAAGAUUCAGUGUCACAUAACAGGGUGAGUUCCCGUUCCUUGUCCCAGCUCCUGCCCACCUAGAAGUUUGUAAGCAUGUAGAUUAACAUGUACCACUUUGGUGGGAAGGUAACAGCAUUCCAUGCCCCUUUGGUGUAUAGCUAUGCUGACCACAUGACCAUGGAAAAUGUCUUCAGACAAUAUUGGCUUCCUCGGCUAAGAAAUGGAGAUGAGCAUCACCCCAUAGAGUCAGACAUGACUGGACAGGGAAACCUUUACCUUUACCUUAUAGAACGUUCUCCACCCUGCAAAGCUGCCAGAUGGCAGUUCUACUGCAGAAGCCCUGUAGUGAAACCAUGGGCAGCUUCACUGUGGACUGCUUUGCUAUAGGAAUGCUGCAGAAGUGGUUGGCAGCUCACUAAUGAAGUUGCCCACAGCUUCACAUCACCACCAUGGGUUGCUGGGAAGAGCUGCAGCCAGCAGCCCCACAGUGAAGCCGAAGAAAGUAGCUAGCUUUACCAUGGGACUCUCAGUGCAAAGAAACUUUCACCCCAUUUUUUGUGCUAUGGUGGAGAAAAGGGGAGGGAAAAAAAACUAGGCCUUCUCUUGUCCAGAGAAAUUUUACUUUGGUUUAUAUGUAUACAUUUAAUUCAUUAAUUAUUUUUAGCCUUAUACACUAUCCCGUUAUCAUUUAUGAAAUGGGCAGCUAUAUAAAUUGCUUAAAAUAAAUAAAUAAAUUGACAGCAGAAGACAUGUUUUUUCCAAUUAUUUUCCAUACUAAUUAAGGCAUUGGGAGAGAAGGGGGAAAGUUGACCCUUGGGAUUUCUGGUGUCAUACCACCUCUUCUCCCCAUGCCUUUGGUAUGGACAUUGCAAGAACCCCUACAGUACCCAAAAGCUGACAUAGUUCUUUGUGGACCCCCAUACUGAAUAAACAGAAUUUUAUUGAUAUCUUGCAACAGAAUCUCCAGUCUAACGCUUAUGCUGAUUUUUUAAAAAACAAAACAAAACUGAAAAUGGAUAAAGUUAUUUCAGUCUAGAAAGAGUAUCUGAGGAAAGCCUUUGACACUUUACUCUAGAAAACGGUGAAAAACCACUGGUAUUAAACCAGAGGUGCUUACAAGACUCUGCUAAGGCUCUAAAGCUCUUGCCGUGAAACCUUAGUUUUCUUUUUAUUUCAAACUUUUAUUGAAGGUACAAAAGCAAACCAUUAUAUUUCAGAUAGAUCAUCUGAAACUGUUGACUUGGAAUGUUGUCCUGAAAUAUGGCUUUAUGGAAUGAAUUAUGGUCUUUGUUAAACUGGGGUUAGAAUAAAGAAUGUAUCGCUGUUGCAAUAUUUGAAACAUUUUGUGUUUAGUUGCCAAGUAUCAAGCUUCCAUUUAGUUGUUUUUCUCUUCCUACUUUGUACCCUCAUCAUGUAAGUCCGUUGCCUAUGAAACAGUUUUGGAAAUUAAAUGAAUAAGAAAUAAUUUUUAAUGAAUUUUCCAAACUUCAGAUAAUUUAAUGAAUAUUUUCACUGAAAGCUAUGCAGUAGUCACGUACAGCACCCCAGAUCCUUAUCUAUUUUGUAAUUGUUUGCGUCAGUGGAGUUUGAGGUAAAAUGGGUCAAGGAAGUGAUCUUUCCAGGGCAAAAUAGAGUGGACAGUGAUGGCUGAAAUUAUGUGGUAAGACUGAAUUUGAGCCACAGUAUAUUAUAAUAUUAAAAAAUGGGCCUUGUAUUAAUUUUGUUAUAUUAUGAAGUGAUACCAGAAAGAGUCAUGUUACAUUAUCAAAUGGAAAACAAUUACCUAAUGAAAGAAUUCACAAUAAAUUAAUUUUUUUAUUUGUAUAAGUUUAUAAAAUAUAAGCAGAAUACCAAAUAAUAAACAUAUUGCCAAAGCUCUUAAAGACCUUAACAAAAUUUAACAAAUUACAACAUGAGUUAGAGUUAUGGUGAAAACUGUAGAUAAAGAUUUAGGUUAUAGUCAAGAUUUAUAAAAUAUACCAUAUAAUACUAUAUAAUUAGGAACAAAAGAUAGAAAAAGAAUUUUUUACAUAAUAAUACAACAUUUCCAAGAGUGGAACUUAAUAUUUAUUUAUUUAUUUAUCUAUCUAUUUAUCUAUUUAUUUAUGAGACUUAUAUACCGCUUUAAGUGCAAGCACUCUCUAAGUGAUGUACAC